UUAAGCGACUAAGCGUACACGGUGGAUGCCCUGGCAGUCAGAGGCGAUGAAGGACGUGCUAAAUCUGCGAUAAGCGUCGGUAAGGUGAUAUGAACCGUUAUAACCGGCGAUUUCCGAAUGGGGAAACCCAGUGUGAUUCGUCACACUAUCAUUAACUGAAUCCAUAGGUUAAUGAGGCGAACCGGGGGAACUGAAACAUCUAAGUACCCCGAGGAAAAGAAAUCAACCGAGAUUCCCCCAGUAGCGGCGAGCGAACGGGGAGCAGCCCAGAGCCUGAAUCAGUGUGUGUGUUAGUGGAAGCGUCUGGAAAGGCGUGCGAUACAGGGUGACAGCCCCGUACACAAAAAUGCACAUACUGUGAGCUCGAUGAGUAGGGCGGGACACGUGGUAUCCUGUCUGAAUAUGGGGGGACCAUCCUCCAAGGCUAAAUACUCCUGACUGACCGAUAGUGAACCAGUACCGUGAGGGAAAGGCGAAAAGAACCCCGGCGAGGGGAGUGAAAAAGAACCUGAAACCGUGUACGUACAAGCAGUGGGAGCACGCUUAGGCGUGUGACUGCGUACCUUUUGUAUAAUGGGUCAGCGACUUAUAUUCUGUAGCAAGGUUAACCGAAUAGGGGAGCCGAAGGGAAACCGAGUCUUAACUGGGCGUUAAGUUGCAGGGUAUAGACCCGAAACCCGGUGAUCUAGCCAUGGGCAGGUUGAAGGUUGGGUAACACUAACUGGAGGACCGAACCGACUAAUGUUGAAAAAUUAGCGGAUGACUUGUGGCUGGGGGUGAAAGGCCAAUCAAACCGGGAGAUAGCUGGUUCUCCCCGAAAGCUAUUUAGGUAGCGCCUCGUGAAUUCAUCUCCGGGGGUAGAGCACUGUUUCGGCAAGGGGGUCAUCCCGACUUACCAACCCGAUGCAAACUGCGAAUACCGGAGAAUGUUAUCACGGGAGACACACGGCGGGUGCUAACGUCCGUCGUGAAGAGGGAAAUAACCCAGACCGCCAGCUAAGGUCCCAAAGUCAUGGUUAAAGUGGGAAACGAUGUGGGAAGGCCCAGACAGCCAGGAUGUUGGCUUAGAAGCAGCCAUCAUUUAAAGAAAGCGUAAUAGCUCACUGGUCGAGUCGGCCUGCGCGGAAGAUGUAACGGGGCUAAACCAUGCACCGAAGCUGCGGCAGCGACGCUUAUGCGUUGUUGGGUAGGGGAGCGUUCUGUAAGCCUGUGAAGGUGUGCUGUGAGGUAUGCUGGAGGUAUCAGAAGUGCGAAUGCUGACAUAAGUAACGAUAAAGCGGGUGAAAAGCCCGCUCGCCGGAAGACCAAGGGUUCCUGUCCAACGUUAAUCGGGGCAGGGUGAGUCGACCCCUAAGGCGAGGCCGAAAGGCGUAGUCGAUGGGAAACAGGUUAAUAUUCCUGUACUUGGUGUUACUGCGAAGGGGGGACGGAGAAGGCUAUGUUGGCCGGGCGACGGUUGUCCCGGUUUAAGCGUGUAGGCUGGUUUUCCAGGCAAAUCCGGAAAAUCAAGGCCGAGGCGUGAUGACGAGGCACUACGGUGCUGAAGCAACAAAUGCCCUGCUUCCAGGAAAAGCCUCUAAGCAUCAGGUAACAUCAAAUCGUACCCCAAACCGACACAGGUGGUCAGGUAGAGAAUACCAAGGCGCUUGAGAGAACUCGGGUGAAGGAACUAGGCAAAAUGGUGCCGUAACUUCGGGAGAAGGCACGCUGAUACGUAGGUGAAGCGACUUGCUCGUGGAGCUGAAAUCAGUCGAAGAUACCAGCUGGCUGCAACUGUUUAUUAAAAACACAGCACUGUGCAAACACGAAAGUGGACGUAUACGGUGUGACGCCUGCCCGGUGCCGGAAGGUUAAUUGAUGGGGUUAGCGCAAGCGAAGCUCUUGAUCGAAGCCCCGGUAAACGGCGGCCGUAACUAUAACGGUCCUAAGGUAGCGAAAUUCCUUGUCGGGUAAGUUCCGACCUGCACGAAUGGCGUAAUGAUGGCCAGGCUGUCUCCACCCGAGACUCAGUGAAAUUGAACUCGCUGUGAAGAUGCAGUGUACCCGCGGCAAGACGGAAAGACCCCGUGAACCUUUACUAUAGCUUGACACUGAACAUUGAGCCUUGAUGUGUAGGAUAGGUGGGAGGCUUUGAAGUGUGGACGCCAGUCUGCAUGGAGCCGACCUUGAAAUACCACCCUUUAAUGUUUGAUGUUCUAACGUGGACCCGUGAUCCGGGUUGCGGACAGUGUCUGGUGGGUAGUUUGACUGGGGCGGUCUCCUCCUAAAGAGUAACGGAGGAGCACGAAGGUUGGCUAAUCCUGGUCGGACAUCAGGAGGUUAGUGCAAUGGCAUAAGCCAGCUUGACUGCGAGCGUGACGGCGCGAGCAGGUGCGAAAGCAGGUCAUAGUGAUCCGGUGGUUCUGAAUGGAAGGGCCAUCGCUCAACGGAUAAAAGGUACUCCGGGGAUAACAGGCUGAUACCGCCCAAGAGUUCAUAUCGACGGCGGUGUUUGGCACCUCGAUGUCGGCUCAUCACAUCCUGGGGCUGAAGUAGGUCCCAAGGGUAUGGCUGUUCGCCAUUUAAAGUGGUACGCGAGCUGGGUUUAGAACGUCGUGAGACAGUUCGGUCCCUAUCUGCCGUGGGCGCUGGAGAACUGAGGGGGGCUGCUCCUAGUACGAGAGGACCGGAGUGGACGCAUCACUGGUGUUCGGGUUGUCAUGCCAAUGGCACUGCCCGGUAGCUAAAUGCGGAAGAGAUAAGUGCUGAAAGCAUCUAAGCACGAAACUUGCCCCGAGAUGAGUUCUCCCUGACCCUUUAAGGGUCCUGAAGGAACGUUGAAGACGACGACGUUGAUAGGCCGGGUGUGUAAGCGCAGCGAUGCGUUGAGCUAACCGGUACUAAUGAACCGUGAGGCUUAACCUU
This 2904-nucleotide ribosomal RNA is filed under the name Shigella flexneri K-304. RNAcentral's name for it is "bacterial LSU rRNA". It matches the Rfam family "Bacterial large subunit ribosomal RNA". Lineage: Bacteria; Pseudomonadati; Pseudomonadota; Gammaproteobacteria; Enterobacterales; Enterobacteriaceae. The record is from RNAcentral.